Molecule: long non-coding RNA, 1057 nt
Organism: Tupaia belangeri chinensis (Chinese tree shrew)
Lineage: Eukaryota; Metazoa; Chordata; Mammalia; Scandentia; Tupaiidae
Exons: 6
Source: RefSeq, a predicted model, not a curated record
AACUAUCAAGAUGCCAUUUCAUCACCAUCUUGGAUUCUAAGGAUAGCUGACAGUUACAAUGAGUUUAUGAAGAUUCUCUCGGAGUUUCUCCCGAUUGGCUUUGGAGUUGGGAGAGACAUACCCUAUUCCCUUAUAUGGGGUUGGUAGGGAGAGGAAAAGCACUGCACUCCUACACAAGGAGACCUUUCGUUCUCUCUCCAGUUGUCCUCUCUACACUAAUGUGCAGGGUGUGGAUGGUGGAGAUGGUGUUGGAGCAAGUUCUGCUGAAAUCCCAUCUCUCAGCAAGACCUGUAGGAGGUGCUUGGCCCCGGUACUUGGCAGCUGUCUUAGCAGAAUUCACAAGACUAAUCUCAUUCCUGAGCAUUAGGAAACGGUAGUAGUCACUCAUCUGUCUCUCUAGUUUCUAGAAUUGUGAAGGUUCAGUAUUCUGUCUCUGCAUUCUCUGGUUUGUGACACUUGAUAAUCUGCUUGGUCACAAAUUGUCAGCAAGAUUGGAACUGCCAGCCUUAUCCUCACUCCUCCUUUGCUACAAGAUUUUCUCUUGCUUCCCUGAGCAAACCUGCUGGAGUGGGGGAAAAACAAAACCCCCCAAAAAAGGACCAAGCAGAGUGCCUUGUGCAUAGCAGGCCCUCACUAUAAAUAAUUAAGAAGAGAUAAGGAAAUGAAGAGGGAGGAGGAAGGAAGGAACAUGGCAGGAGAAAAUGUGGAGUAAAUGGCUGAAGGGCACAGAAAUGCAAGAUGACUAAGGUCUAAGGAUCUAAUACACGGCAUGGUGUCCAUAGUUAACAAUAUUGUACUGCAAACUUAAAAUUUGAUAAAAGUAUAGAUUUUAAGUAUUUUUACCGCACAAACGCAAAGAUAACUCUGUGAGAUGAUAGGUAUAUGUGAAACCUUGCCAUAGUGGUAGAAGAAACAAGAAUACAUGGAAGAAAGAAGGGAAAAGAUGUCUCAUACUAAUCCAGGACUUACAAGUAUAAUCAUUGCUAACAUUUUGAUCUGAUAUGAAUUCUUGCUGAGGAGUCAAGCGAGAAGUUAUCUGAUCCACUAAGGACAGGAA